This 292-nucleotide ribosomal RNA is filed under the name uncultured bacterium. Its description in RNAcentral is "partial 16S ribosomal RNA". The record is from RNAcentral.
GGACUACCGGGGUAUCUAAUCCCGUUCGCUCCCCUCGCUUUCGCACCUGAGCGUCAGAAACGAGCCAGGACACUGCCUUCGCCUUUGGUGUUCUUCCGGAUCUCUACGCAUUUCACUGCUCCACCCGGAGUUCCGUGUCCCUCUCUCGCUCUCAAGUCCGCCAGUUUUCAAGGACCUUCACCAGUUAAGCUGGUGAUUGUCACCCUGAACUUAGCAGACCGCCUGCGUGCCCUUUACGCCCAAUAAAUCCGGACAACGCUCGCCCCCUACGUAUUACCGCGGCUGCUGGCAC